Molecule: ribosomal RNA, 3117 nt
Filed under: Triticum aestivum (bread wheat)
Lineage: Eukaryota; Viridiplantae; Streptophyta; Magnoliopsida; Poales; Poaceae
Description: partial small subunit ribosomal RNA
Source: RNAcentral
AUGGAGGAGAUCGUGCUUGGACUGUCCAAGACGGUGGUGGAGGGGACGCUGGUCAAGGUGAAGGCCGCGAUUGACGAGGAGGCGAAGCUGAAGCUUGCCGUGCAGAGCGACCUGGUGUUCAUCACGGGGGAAUUCGAGAUGAUGCAGUCGUUCCUCAACGUCGCCGACGCGGAGCGCAUCAAGAACAACGCCGUCAAGACGUGGGUGCGGCAGCUCCGCGACCUGGCCUACGACACCGAAGACUGCAUCGAGCUGGUGGUCCACCUGGAUCCCAAGCCCAGAUGGUGGCGCCGCCUGCUGGUCCUGCCUUGCCUGCCGGCGGUGUCGCUGCCCAUGGACGACGCGGCGGCGGAGAUAAAGGAGCUCAAGGACCGGGUGGAGUUCGUGAGCCAGAGGAACAUGCGCUACAAGCUCAUCACCGACUUCGGCGGCGCCAAGUCCGUCGCGCAGCAGCAGCUUGACCGGGCCGCCGGAGCUCUCGACAUCGCCGUGGAGGAGGCGGCGAAGAAAGGUCGUAGCUUGGUGGAUCUGACCGAGUUGAUCCCCAGAAUGGAAGACCGCCCUGAGCUCGGCGUGAUCUCGGUGUGGGGGACCGGCGGCGACCUUGGGGUGGCGUCCAUCGUCAGGAAGGCCUACGACGACCCUGAAAUUUGCAAGAACUUCCAUAGUCGUGGCUGGGCCAAGUUGACCCACCCUUUCGAUCCGCGGAAGAUCCUCCGGAGCUUGUUCAUUCAGUUCUGCACUAACACUGCUGCUCCACAGAAGCAAGGGGAAACUCUGGAUGUAGAUUCCCUUCUAAGGAUGGAGAAGACGGUGGUGGAAGAAGGGGAGCUGGUCAAGCAGUUUGUGAGUCAUGUGAGCACCCACAGGUUCCUCGUUGUCCUCGAAGGCGUGUCAACCAUGGCGGAAUGGGAUGCCCUCCGGAUGUACCUGCCAGACAUGGGUAACGGGAGCCAGAUCAUCGUAUCCACACAGCAUUUUGACAUCGCGAGCUUGUGCACCGGGCAGCUGCACAAAGUUUCAGAGUUGAGAAAAUUCACACCUGACCACUCUGUUUGUGUCUUUUUCAAGGAAGUUUCCGGAGGUGAUGAUCCUGGAAAUGCAAUGUUGGAGGGAGAUGACGAAACUGAACUUAUUGGGCGCGACACAGAAGAGGACGAGCUUAUGGAGCAGAUUGAUGAGGUUUCCCGUGUGAUCUCCGUAUGGGGGAUUGCUGGUGUAGGAAAAUCGGCACUUGUCAGAAGUGCCUACUGCAAGUAUCUGCAGGACCGCCCCAACUUCGCCGGGUUAAAUCUGACCUACAUACACGGGCGCGUGAACGUGCCCCAUCCCUUCAAUCUGAGGGAGUUCUGCCGCAGCUUGCUCCUGAACUUGUCCUCUGAGCCUGCUAAAACCAAAGAGGACGCCGUCGCUGAACUGGCAAACAUGACCAAUCCAAUUGAUGUCUGCCGGAAGCUUCUUAGCGACGAUCAACAACAGAAGCAGUGCCUUAUUGUUAUUGAUGACCUGCAGUCCACUGAAGAAUGGGACAGAAUAAAACAAGCCUUGUCAUUUGGUAAAGAAUGUUGUAUCAUAGUUGUUACAAAUGAUUCAAGUGUUGCCAAAUAUUGUUCAGGGCAAGAUCAGAAACUCAUGUCCAACGUCAAAGGUCUUGGUGACGAGCAUGCCCUUGACCUCUUCAACAUGGUAUAUGACGGCGUGGGUAACCACAUCACACGGGAUGAGGACAUGAUCAAUCAGUCGAAGCUAAUGUUAAACAAAUGCGGCGGACUACCCAAGGUGAUAGUUGCAAUUGGUCGUUUCUUGGCCAAGAGUCUGAAUUGGGAGGCCAUGAAUACUAACUUUAUUCACCAGUUGGAAAACAACCCGGAGCUGGCUAGUGUACAUAGCAUGUUUAGUUGGCUAGACUCCUACUUCCACAAUUGUCCUGACGAACUCAAGCCAUGCAUCUUCUAUUUGUCAAUCUUCCCUCGACGCCAUGGCAUUCGUCGAAGGCGUCUGGUGAGGCGGUGGAUUGCCGAGGGCUACUCAAGAGACACCGACGGGAAUCUCGCGGAAGUGAACGGGGAAAAUUACUUCUCCAGGCUCGUCAACCUCAGCAUGCUCACAGAUGCUGAGCGUGAUGUCAACGUGGCUGGGACAGCGACUGGGGCUGGUACUGGGAGGAGAAUGGCCAUGUGCAACGUCAACGAUUUCUUCCGGGAGUACAUUGUGUCGCGGCGAAUGGAGGAGAACCAUGUGUUUGCACUGGAGGGGAGGUGCAGCCAGACCACGCGGCGCACUGGACGGCACCUGGUCAUCGACAAAAGCUGGGACGGGGACGAGAGCGUGUUCAACAGGAUCGAGUUCUCGCGACUGCGGUCGGUGACGGUGUUCGGACCCUGGAAGCCAUUCCUGGCCUCCGACAAGAUGAGGGUGCUCCGCGUGCUUGAUCUGGAAGGCACUGAGGGUCUGACAGACAACGACAUCAAGAACAUCGUCAAACGGCUGCCUCGACUAAAGUUCCUCUCCCUGCGAGGAUGCAAGCACAUCUUUCGGCUGCCAAAAUCCCUGGGUCGCCUGAGGCAGCUCCAGACCCUGGAUGUGAGGCACACUGCCGUAGCCGGGCUGCCAGCGACCGUCGUGAAGCUACAGAAGCUGCAGUAUGUUCGUGCCGGCAACACACCAGAGGAGUAUGCCGUCAGCGACAGCACGGAAUCUAGCACCUCAGUACCCAUCUGUUUCUCAUGUGGCCCUGUUGGCAAUCACAUUGUCGGCGUUGAGGUGCCUCGCGGGGUCGAGAAUCUGACCAACCUGCACACACUGGGCGUCAUCAAAGCCACUGUGGCAGGACUCAAGGAGCUCAAGAAGCUUACCCAGCUGCGCAAGCUCGGCGUGUCUGGCAUAAACCGGAGGAACCACAAAGAGCUCUGCGCCGUCAUCUCGGGCCACGGCCAUCUGGAAUCUCUGUCGAUAUGGUUUGACAAGGACACCGAGAGGAUUGCUGACCCUUGUUCGCCGAGCAAUGAUGACUUCAAGCCUCCAGAGAAGCUACGGAGGCUCAAACUCCAUGGGCACACUGACAACCUGCCAGCAUGGGUUAGCACUCUCAAAAUAUUUGUCACUCAAGAUCAAUGA